RNAcentral lists this ribosomal RNA (406 nucleotides) under uncultured bacterium. RNAcentral's name for it is "partial 16S ribosomal RNA". It matches the Rfam family "Bacterial small subunit ribosomal RNA", at positions 30 to 526 of the family's 1533-position model. The record is from RNAcentral.
AUUGAACGCUGGCGGCAGGCCUAACACAUGCAAGUCGAACGAGUGGCGGACUGGUGAGUAAUUUCUGGGAAACUGCCUGAUGGAGGGGGCUAACUACUGGAAACGGUAGCUAAUACCGCAUACCAUCCUAUCUGCUCUGAUUGGAUUAGCUUGUUGGUGGGGUAACGGCUAACCAAGGCGACGAUCCCUAGCUGGUCUGAGAGGGUGGCCAGCCACACUGGAACUGAGACACGGUCCAGACUCCUACGGGAGGCAGCAGUGGGGAAUAUUGCACAAUGGGCGCAAGUCUGAUGCAGCCAUGCCGCGUGUGUGAAGAAGGCCUUCGGGUUGUAAAGUACUUUCGGCGGGGAGGCGUUACCCGAAGAGGAAGCACCGGCUAACUACGUGCCAGCCGCCGCGGUAAUAC